UUGGCUGAAGCAUCAUUAUUUGGUGCAUGACUGUAGAACUUUAAGCAAUGAUGAAAAUGCUCUAUAUCCACACUAUCCAAUAUGGUUCUGCUUGAAUUCUUGCCCUGGCUCUUGGUGAAGGAUCGGCCUGCUGGAUCUGAGUCAUCCACCUAUAAGAGGGACAACACCACACAUUGGUCGCUGCUCUCAAGCCCCUGGAAUACCACCCCACUUGGCUUCUCCUGGUGGUCAUUUGUUGAACUUCAGCUCCCUUCCAAUACCUUCCAUUCAUUCUCUUCAUCAAGGACAUCUGCAGUGCACGGCAGCAUCAGGGGGCAGGCCUCCUGAGCCCCCAGCAGGAUUCCAUUUCUCCACCUUCCACUGCCAUCCGACUUGCUGAUGCCCAGGCCCCCAGAGGAGGAAGGGCUAUCCUGUUGUUAUGAGAACAAAUGAAGCUAAGAAGUGGUUUGAGGUGGGAACAGCCAGGCCCUACAGACAGAGAGAGUGGUUAAUAAAUCUGUAUUGUACUGAAUUAAAUAGAGCAUCUUAAGCUACCUACUGGGGAUGGAACAAUGCAGAGACUCCUGUGUUUUUUAGUAGCAUUAGCAAAAGAGCUUAGCAUCGCUGCUAAUUAAAAUCACAUCCACGUUUGGCUUCGGAAUGCAUAAGGCAUCACAAUAACUCAGCACUGAAGGGGCUUAUAGUGGUUUUAAAAUAAAUCCACACAUUCUUUGCAGUGUGCUCCCUUCAAUGCAGCCUCAUUCCUCUCCUCUUGAAUGUAGGCUAUUCUGAGUGACUCACUUAUCAAUAGAAUGUAGUGAAAACGGUGGAAUAUGACUUUCAAAGAUAUGCUGUUGAAGACACUGCGCUUCUGUCUUGCUCUCUCUUUCGGAUCACGUGCUCUUCAGGGAGCCAGCUGCCAUGUCAUGCAGACACUCAAGCAGCCCUAUGGAGAAGCCACAUGGAGAGGGGCUGAGGCCUGUUUCCCACAGCCAUGUGAGUGGGCCAUUCCGGAAGCAGAUCAUCCAGCCCUCGCCAAGCUGACAGACGACUGCAUCCCCAGCCAACAUCUAGACUGGAGCCUCACGAGAGACCAACCCGGAGACCCCACCCAGCUAAGCCACUCCAGAAUCCCUGACCCCAAACAUUGUGACAUGAUAAAAAUGUGUUGUUUAAGC
This 1157-nucleotide long non-coding RNA is filed under the name Homo sapiens (human). RNAcentral's name for it is "long intergenic non-protein coding RNA 2020". Lineage: Eukaryota; Metazoa; Chordata; Mammalia; Primates; Hominidae. The record is from RNAcentral.